Molecule: non-coding RNA, 62 nt
Filed under: unclassified sequences
Description: GP20-b RNA
Rfam family: GP20-b RNA
Source: RNAcentral
UGGCUACUCCGCAGGCCUUACAAAGCGGAACGGCAGGAGAAGGCUACCUCCUAAAACGCCUA